This 255-nucleotide small RNA is filed under the name Pan troglodytes (chimpanzee). Its description in RNAcentral is "retained intron". Lineage: Eukaryota; Metazoa; Chordata; Mammalia; Primates; Hominidae. The record is from RNAcentral.
UGAUCUAACACAUUUAACUCCUUUCUUACCUUAAUUUUAUGAGACAGCAGUGAGUGGCUAAAUCUAAAUGUUUUGAAUCAUUAUAAAACGUGUUUGCUUUUUCCCUUAGAUAGUGCUGCAAGAGGGAAAUUCCCAAAAGAAGUCAAAUAUUUCAGAGAAAACCAAGCGUUUGAAUGAACUAAAAUUGUCGGUGGUCUCUUUGAAAGAAAUACAAGAGAGUUUGAAAACAAAAAUUGUGGAUUCUCCAGAGAAGUU